CCUGCAGGGUACUCGAGUGGCGAACGGGUGAGUAACACGUGGGUGAUCUGCCCUGCACUUCGGGAUAAGCUUGGGAAACUGGGUCUAAUACCGGAUAGGAACCAUCUUUAGUGUGGUGGUUGGAAAGUUUUUUCGGUGUAGGAUGAGCUCGCGGCCUAUCGGCUUGUUGGUGGGGUAAUGGCCUACCAAGGCGGCGACGGGUAGCCGGCCUGAGAGGGUGUACGGCCACAUUGGGACUGAGAUACGGCCCAG
Molecule: ribosomal RNA, 252 nt
Filed under: uncultured Actinomycetales bacterium
Lineage: Bacteria; Bacillati; Actinomycetota; Actinomycetes; Actinomycetales
Description: partial 16S ribosomal RNA
Rfam family: Bacterial small subunit ribosomal RNA
Source: RNAcentral